RNAcentral lists this unclassified non-coding RNA (3634 nucleotides) under Hevea brasiliensis (rubber tree). The record is from RNAcentral. Lineage: Eukaryota; Viridiplantae; Streptophyta; Magnoliopsida; Malpighiales; Euphorbiaceae.
GGAAAAUCUUAUAGGCCUUAAGUAGGCAGCUUAUGAACGGAUCAGAUAGCUGGAAGGUUACUCACCUUGAUCAUAAUUAAUGUGUGUAUCAUUUAAAUUGCUACCCAUCCAUGAUAAUACCAAAUCAACAAGAAGAUUACAAAGGCGGGAACCAAAUGCGGGAACCAAAUGACAGAUUUAUUUCCACUUGCGUGUUUUUACAUUACAUGGAGCAACUUACUAUACCAUAAUACCAGAUAGCUACAGAAUGACCAAAAUUGAAAGGAAAGAAUAUUUAUGGAAAACUAAGCCAGGAAAAAGAUGAAGUUCCAAGAUGCCACUUGAUUCAUUAUACUAAAAGUUUAAGGAUGCUUUAUGUGAUGACUGUAGGCUUCUCCCUACCUGUGAAGUCCUUCAACUUUGAUACAGACAAUGCCACAUCUAUCAGUGGUUUCAAGGCUGUUUGGGCAUCCAUCUCAUGUUUAGAGGCAACUGGUUCAAACUGUUCGAUGUACAUUCGAACAGUUGCACCUGCAGAUCCAGUUCCAGAUAACCGAAAUAUUAUCCUUGAUCCAUCAGUAAAAACAAAUCGAACCCCUUGCUUUGUUACCACGCUUCCAUCCACGGGAUCAGUGUACUUGAAGUCAUCAGCAUACUGAAGGGCAUAACUGCCUGCACCCUCAAAUUUCAUGAUGGUCAAACAUUUCAGAGAAGAAACGAGAUUAAAUGAUGUAUUAAGCUUACCAUAUUUUAUCUCCUGGUUUGCUUACACACAAGCUUACCAUAUUUAUCUCCUGGUUUGCUUUUAGAGACCAAAUCUCUAAGGUAUUCCAUCAUUUUAUUUGCUCCUUCAGACUCACAUUCUUCAUAAUCAUAUCUAGAAAAGAAAUUUCUUCCAAAUGUUGCCCAGUGCUCUUUCACAACAUCAGCAACAGAUACUAACUUCUCCCCUGGUUUCUUGUCCUUGUUUCUGUAUGCAAUAAUUGAAAGCCAAGCUAACACAGCCCUGAAAUUUGAAAAUUUAAGUUAUUCCAAUUGGGAUUUGAUGGUGUUUGGCAACAGAAGAAAUAAGGAUAUGCUAAACUGAAAAUAAAGGAGGAAAAGGAGGAGCCACGUAAAUGAUAUCCAUCCUUUACAAAUGAAAAUGACCAGUUGCUUCUACCAUGCACCUAGUAAAAGUAUGAAAGAACUCAGAGGGAACAUAACCAACAUUAAAGCUAACCACGUAUUGAUGUGCUAAAACACAACUUGACUAUGAUGAGGUUUUUGAUAAUCCAACAUGGAAAUUAUAUCCAUGCUAUUUGUGUUGUUGAGGUCUAUUUGUGUAGAUGAUUAUCUAAAAAGAAGGGCCUGUAUUUGAAUUUGACAUUAUAUUGGUGUUUUAUGAUUGUUCACUUGAAACACAAUCCAAAUCCACCUUCAUUUUAAAUGCACAUCAAUCCAGAUGAAUUCUUAUAAAAAUUUCAAACAUGCAAUCAAAACAAACACUGUGUUUUGUGACUUGAACUUUCAUUAUAAGGUCAAGCAACUGAUAGGAAUAAAUUAUAGUCAGUUGCAUAAGCAUAGAACAUCUACUUCAUCCACAACCUUCUCUUUGAUGGAAGAGAAAAACCAACGUAAUAUUGUGGGCCUCCCACCCUACUAAUUGGUCCCAACUCCCAAGACAAAGUUCAACGCAUAAUGGCAGAUUGGCAGCCUCUAUUGCCGUGAAAUAGGAAAUUUGUGACAAUUGAUCAAUGGUAAUAAACCCCGACCCCCCUCUAAAAAAUAAAUAAAUAUAACCACAGACCUUUACAAAAUCAUAUAUCAUAAAUAGCCAAUCCCAAGUUUCUGGGAUGUGUGAUAAGACUUGCAUGGUGUGAUUCUCAUUCUCAUGUUUAUAUACAAGUUCUCGUCAUAAUUUAUGAGGUAUACCAUUGCUAUUUAAACAUUUUUGUGCAUGCAUAACAAAUUUAAGAUGCUUGGAUAGAUGCCAGGCCCAAAGUUGCAUAGCCAGCCUCAAGUAGGGAAUUCUGCUGAGUUAACGAGCAAUAAUAUGUAGAUAAGAACUAAGAAGCGUCAGUGUCAAUAUACGUGGAUGAUUUUUUCUACCAAUAUAAAUGCCAUAGUCAGUUACCAUAUGCCAUCCUUCUCACGAAUGUGAUCAGAACCAGUUCCAAAACUCUCUUCCCCGCAAAUAGACAACUUUCCAUCAUCCAUAAGAUUGCCAAAAAAUUUCCAACCCGUGGGGACCUCAAAAAAAGGAAGAUUCAAUUUUUCAGCCACACGAUCCAGCGCACCACUUGUUGGCAUGGACCGCGCUAAGCCCUUAGCGCCACUCUUGAAGUACGGAAUGGCUCCUUGUGAAUUGGCAGCAAUGAUUGCCACAGAAUCUGAAGGAGUAACAAAAAACCCUCUACCCAGGAUCAUGUUUCUGUCACCAUCGCCAUCACUUGCAGCUCCAAAAUCAGGCCCAUUCUCACUAUACAUAAUUUUCACCAAAUCCUUGGCAUAUGUAAGAUUAGGAUCUGGAUGACCAAGCCCAAAAUCCUCCAGGGGCACUCCAUUUGAAAUUGAGUCUGGACUGGCUCCCAGCUUGUCCACGAAGAUGGGCUUUGCAUAAGCACCAGUGACCGCAUGCAUGGCAUCAAAAAUAAACCUGAAAUCUGGCCGUGAAAGAAGACUUCUGAUGAGCUCAAAAUUAAAUACAUGCUCCACUAGCUCUAAGUAGUCAGAAACUGGGUCCACUACUUCAACAAUGAAGUUUCCAUAUUUUGUAAAUCCAGGAUGAGAAAGAUCAACAUCAGGAAUGUCUGCUAUUUUAAUCUUCGAGAUAGAAAGUGUAUUUCCAUAAAUCUUGUCAGUGAUAGAUUCAGGUGCAGGUUGCCCACUGUUGUAAUUAAACUUUAUCCCCCAAUCAUAUUCAGGGCCCCCAGGAUUAUGGCUUGCGCUCAUUAUAAAACCACCAUUGGCCUUCCUCUUUCGGAUCACUGCAGAAACAGCUGGGGUAGACAUAACACCUUCCUUGCCAACCAGGAUUUUACCAACACCAUUCCCUGCUGCAAUUUUAAUGAUUAUCUGUGAAGCUUCUUUGUUGAAGUAACGACCGUCCCCUCCUAAGACCAACAAACCAUUCUUGUAAUCCUCAGAUGGUAAUGAAUUAAACAAUGCCUGGAUCCAAUUCGCAAGAUAAUUUUCUUGCAUGAAAACUUUAACCUUUUUUCGAAGACCACUAGUCCCUGUCUUCUGGCCCUCGAUCGGCUUCGUUGGCACUGAAUUAAUCUUGAUGCCUUCAGGUUCGGCGAUGGCGGUGGAAGAGGAAGAAGAUGAAACUUUGACGGAGAGAGAGUGAGUUAGUGAAGUUUUCAAAAGAGAAAAUUUUGGAGAGACGAGAGGAGAAGAGGAAAGCAGAGAAAAUGAUGAGAUUGGAGGAGAAAGGACGCUCCCAUUUCCAUUUCCAUUAUUCGAAUGCUUAAACUUGGAGAUGGCGUGAGAGAAGACGUUUUCUACUCUCAAACAAGAAGAGAACACCAUUGUUACGGUUAAGGAUAUCUUCAGUGACGAUGAUCGCUAUAGCUUUGCUCGCUCGCUCUCUCUCCAUAUAUGCAUUAGUGAGAGAGUGAGAGAGAGAGAGAAGACCUCAAGACUGAAAGAACGGAGCCAAAAUCCAGCUUGU